This is a small nucleolar RNA of Acomys russatus (golden spiny mouse), 140 nucleotides long. RefSeq annotates it as small nucleolar RNA SNORA48. The record is from RefSeq and is a predicted model, not a curated record. NCBI's taxonomy places the organism in Eukaryota, Metazoa, Chordata, Mammalia, Rodentia, Muridae. The transcript has a single exon.
UCCCUCAGCAAUGGGCAAGACAUCUUUGUGGUGAUGCUGUUCUUAUUUCAGUCAGGGGCAGAGCACUUGGUAUUCCUUUGUUCAUUCUAGCUUGGUGCCUGGCUUGGUGGCCAACAGUGUUUUAUGCCUACGACACAUAA